UACGUAGGUGGCAAGCGUUGUCCGGAUUUACUGGGCGUAAAGAGCGCGCAGGCGGUCCGAUCAGUCGAAUGUGAAAGCCCCCGGCUCAACUGGGGAGGGUCAUUCGAUACUGUCGGACUCGAAGGCAGGAGAGGGAAGCGGAAUUCCCGGUGUGGUGGUGAAAUGCGUAGAUAUCGGGAGGAACACCAGUGGCGAAGGCGGCUUCCUGGCCUGUUCUUGACGCUGAGGCGCGAAAGCUAGGGGAGCAAACGGG
RNAcentral lists this ribosomal RNA (253 nucleotides) under uncultured bacterium. Its description in RNAcentral is "partial 16S ribosomal RNA". It matches the Rfam family "Bacterial small subunit ribosomal RNA", at positions 524 to 776 of the family's 1533-position model. The record is from RNAcentral.